AUAUUGCGCAAUGGGCGAAAGCCUGACGCAGCCACGCCGCGUGAGUGAUGAAGGCCUUCGGGUUGUAAAGCUCUGUCGGGAGGGACGAAAGGAGUAAUCCUUGACGGUACCUCGCAAGAAAGCACCGGCUAACUCUGUGCCAGCAGCCGCGGUAAUACAGAGGGUGCAAGCGUUGCUCGGAUUUACUGGGCGUAAAGCGUACGCAGACGGUGAAGAAGGUCGGGUGUGAAAGCCCCGGGCUCAACCCGGGAACUGCAUCCGAAACCAUUUCGCUAGAGUAUGAGAGAGGGAAGCAGAAUUCCUGGUGUAGAGGUGAAAUUCGUAGAUAUCAGGAGGAAUACCUGCGGCGAAGGCGGCUUCCUGGCUCAUUACUGACGUUCAGGUACGAAAGCGUGGGUAGCAAACAGG
RNAcentral lists this ribosomal RNA (408 nucleotides) under uncultured bacterium. RNAcentral describes it as "bacterial SSU rRNA". It matches the Rfam family "Bacterial small subunit ribosomal RNA", at positions 361 to 776 of the family's 1533-position model. The record is from RNAcentral.